UGCUGUGGUUGUUGGAUAACAUGGC
RNAcentral lists this non-coding RNA (25 nucleotides) under Rattus norvegicus (Norway rat). Lineage: Eukaryota; Metazoa; Chordata; Mammalia; Rodentia; Muridae. The record is from RNAcentral.